GGUUCCGAUUAUGGCUCAGAUUGAACGCUGGCGGGAUGCUUUACAUGCAAGUCGAACGGCAGCACGGACUUCGGUCUGGUGGCGAGUGGCGAACGGGUGAGUAAUGUAUCGGAACGUGCCUAGUAGCGGGGGAUAACUACGCGAAAGCGUAGCUAAUACCUACCGCAUACGCCCUUCGGGGAAAGCGGGGGACCUUCGGGCCUCGCACUAUUAGAGCGGCCGAUAUCGGAUAGCUAGUUGGUGGGGUAACGGCUCACCAGGCGACGAUCCGUAGCUGGUUUGAGAGGACGACCAGCCACACUGGGACUGAGACACGGCCCAGACUCCUACGGGAGGCAGCAGUGGGGAAUUUUGGACAAUGGGGGAAACCCUGAUCCAGCCAUCCCGCGUGUGCGAUGAAGGCCUUCGGGUUGUAAAGCACUUUUGGCAGGAAAGAAACGGCACGGGAUAAUACCCCGUGCAACUGACGGCUCACCCUGCAGAAUAAGCACCGGCUAACUACGUGCCAGCAGCCGCGGUAAUACGUAGGGUGCAAGCGUUAAUCGAAUUACUGGGCGUAAAGCGUGCGCAGGCGGACCGGAAAGAAAGAUGUGAAAUCCCAGAGCUUAACUUUGGAACUGCAUUUUUAACUACCGAGCUAGAGUGUGUCAGGGGAGGUGGAAUUCCGCCACGUGUAGCAGUGAAAUGCGUAGAUAUGCGGAGAACACCGAUGGCGAAGGCAGCCUCCUGGGAUAACACUGACGCUCAUGCACGAAAAGCGUGGGGAGCAAACAGAAUAGAUACCCUGGUAGUCCACGCCUAAACGAUGUCAACUAGCUGUUGGGGCCUUCGGGCCUUGGUAGCGCAGCUAACGCGUGAAGUUGACCGCCUGGGGGAUACGGUCGCAAGAUUAAAACUCAAAGGAAUUGACGGGGACCCGCACAAGCGGUGGAUGAUGUGGAUUAAUUCGAUGCAACGCGAAAAACCUUACCUACCCUUGACAUGUCUGGAAUCCCGAAGAGAUUUGGGAGUGCUCGCAAGAGAACCGGAACACAGGUGCUGCAUGGCUGUCGUCGAAGCUCGUGUCGUGAGAUGUUGGGUUAAGUCCCGCAACGAGCGCAACCCUUGUCAUUAGUUGCUACGAAAGGGCACUCUAAUGAGACUGCCGGUGACAAACCGGAGGAAGGUGGGGAUGACGUCAAGUCCUCAUGGCCCUUAUGGGUAGGGGGCUUCACACGUCAUACAAUGGUCGGGACAGAGGGUCGCCAACCCGCGAGGGGGAGCCAAUCCCAGAAACCCGAUCGUAGUCCGGAUCGCAGUCUGCAACUCGACUGCGUGAAGUCGGAAUCGCUAGUAAUCGCGGAUCAGCAUGUCGCGGUGAAUACGUUCCCGGGUCUUGUACACACCGCCCGUCACACCAUGGGAGUGGGUUUUACCAGAAGUAGUUAGCCUAACCGUAAGGAGGGCGAUUACCACGGUAGGAUUCAUGACUGGGGUGAAGUCGUAACAAGGUAG
This 1494-nucleotide ribosomal RNA is filed under the name uncultured Bordetella sp. Its description in RNAcentral is "partial 16S-23S ribosomal RNA intergenic spacer". It matches the Rfam family "Bacterial small subunit ribosomal RNA". The record is from RNAcentral. Lineage: Bacteria; Pseudomonadati; Pseudomonadota; Betaproteobacteria; Burkholderiales; Alcaligenaceae.